AGGGGAGUAGCUCAGUUGGUAGAGCGGCGGUCUCCAAAACCGUAGGCCGCGGGUUCGAAUCCUGUCUCCCCUGC
RNAcentral lists this transfer RNA (74 nucleotides) under Portibacter lacus. RNAcentral describes it as "tRNA-Trp". It matches the Rfam family "tRNA". From Rfam's summary of the family: Transfer RNA (tRNA) molecules are approximately 80 nucleotides in length. Their secondary structure includes four short double-helical elements and three loops (D, anti-codon, and T loops). Lineage: Bacteria; Pseudomonadati; Bacteroidota; Saprospiria; Saprospirales; Haliscomenobacteraceae. The record is from RNAcentral.